Long non-coding RNA from Poecilia latipinna (sailfin molly), 510 nucleotides. RefSeq lists it as uncharacterized. Lineage: Eukaryota; Metazoa; Chordata; Actinopteri; Cyprinodontiformes; Poeciliidae. The record is from RefSeq and is a predicted model, not a curated record. The transcript has 3 exons.
GAAAAACUAACGUAGCAUAAAUUGUCUCAGCUGUAUCAAUUUGUUUUCCUGUAUGAAAAGUGUUCACAUUUACAGCUUUGUUUCUGCUAGCUUGCAGGAAUUGUAACUUACAUAAAUGGUUGAAGACAACUUAUUGGCCUUCAUGAGACUCAGAUAAAUGAGAGGAUCACACCUGUCGACAACAAAGGUUUAAGAACUACUGAAUUUUCAGUCAGAAAUUAUCACACCGCUUGGUUGAAGUACCAGUGUCCAUAUGCAAGUCAACAAAGCAGAGAGGAAACACCUCAUUGACAAUAUGUGAGUCUCAAUCUCAACCUGUAACGGGGAAGACCAUAACUAUGACGCACACCAUCCUGAGCAAAGUCUGAACUCAGUGACUUGUUACGCUCAACCCAGAGCAAGAAUCCUUUUAUCAACGGUUUUUCUUCUACAAUAGGUUAUCUCUUAAAUGUACGGAGCCCCCCAGGGGACAUGGGGAAUUUCUUUUCUUUUGCGUUCCCUCGCAAAAAG